AUACGUAGGAGGCGAGCGUUGUCCGGAAUGAUUGGGCGUAAAGGGCGCGUAGGCGGCCUGUUAAGUCUGGAGUGAAAGUCCUGUUUUCAAGAUGGGAAUUGCUUUGGAUACUGAUGGGCUUGAGUGCAGGAGAGGUUAUCGGAAUUCCCGGUGUAGCGGUGAAAUGCGUAGAGAUCGGGAGGAACACCAGUGGCGAAGGCGGGUAACUGGACUGCAACUGACGCUGAGGCGCGAAAGUGUGGGGAGCAAACAGGAUUAGAUACCCUGGUAGUCCACACUGUAAACGAUGAAUGCUAGGUGUAAGAGGUAUCGACCCCUUUUGUGCCGGAGUUAACACAAUAAGCAUUCCGCCUGGGGAGUACGGCCGCAAGGUUGAAACUCAAAUGAAUUGACGGGG
This 397-nucleotide ribosomal RNA is filed under the name uncultured bacterium. Its description in RNAcentral is "partial 16S ribosomal RNA". It matches the Rfam family "Bacterial small subunit ribosomal RNA", at positions 523 to 918 of the family's 1533-position model. The record is from RNAcentral.